Symphalangus syndactylus (siamang) is the source of this 525-nucleotide long non-coding RNA. RefSeq lists it as uncharacterized. The record is from RefSeq and is a predicted model, not a curated record. NCBI's taxonomy places the organism in Eukaryota, Metazoa, Chordata, Mammalia, Primates, Hylobatidae.
UGUGAUCUCGGCUCACUGCAACCUCCGCCUCCCGGGUUCAAGUGAUUCUCCUGCCUCAGCCUCCCAAGUAGCUGGGAUUACAGGCAUGUGCCACCACGCCUGGCUAAUAUAUAUAUGUGUGUCCCCAGCCACACACUGGAAUCGCAGAGAAUCACACAGGGGAGUCAAGACUCUUUCUGCCUUUGAAGGCGUCCAUGUCCCAGUAGAGAAAACAGGCAAAGAAGAUGGAGAAUAUUCCAGGCAGAACACAGCAUGAACAAAGACCAAAAGAAUGAAAUUAGAAUUCUGUACACAGUCAUAAAAAAGAACAAAAUCAUGUUCCUUGCAGUCACGUGGACGCAGCUGGAAGCCAUUAUCCUAAGCAAACUAAUGCAGGAAUAGAAAAGCAAAGACUGCAUGUUCUCACUUAUAAGUGGAAGCGAAACACUGGGUUCUCAUGGACAGAAAGAUGGGAAGAAGAGACACUGGGGACUCGUGGCGGGGGGAAAACUUACCAUUGGGUAUAUGUUCAAGUACCUGGAUGAU